AUUGAACGCUGGCGGCAUGCCUUACACAUGCAAGUCGAACGGCAGCAUGGAGAGCUUGCUCUCUGAUGGCGAGUGGCGAACGGGUGAGUAAAGCAUCGGAACGUACCGUGUAGUGGGGGAUAACGUAGCGAAAGUUACGCUAAUACCGCAUACGCACUGAGGUGGAAAGCAGGGGAUCGCAAGACCUUGCGCUAUACGAGCUGCCGGUGUCAGAUUAGCUAGUUGGUAGGGUAAAGGCCUACCAAGGCGACGAUCUGUAGCGGGUCUGAGAGGAUGAUCCGCCACACUGGGACUGAGACACGGCCCAGACUCCUACGGGAGGCAGCAGUGGGGAAUUUUGGACAAUGGGGGCAACCCUGAUCCAGCCAUGCCGCGUGAGUGAAGAAGGCCUUCGGGUUGUAAAGCUCUUUCGGCCGGGAAGAAAUCGCACAGGCUAAUACUCUGUGUGGAUGACGGUACCGGCAUAAGAAGCACCGGCUAACUACGUGCCAGCCGCCGCCGUAA
This 504-nucleotide ribosomal RNA is filed under the name uncultured bacterium. Its description in RNAcentral is "partial 16S ribosomal RNA". It matches the Rfam family "Bacterial small subunit ribosomal RNA", at positions 30 to 523 of the family's 1533-position model. The record is from RNAcentral.